AACGCGAUCCACUCUUUCAUCUUUUUUUUUCAUCUUUCCUUGCAAAAUCAGUAACCAAAAGGACAACUCCAUCUAUGUGGAAUUUCAUGAAUGAAUGCAAAAUCCCCUACAAAACAAUCAAAUCAUUAGUAGGGUGAACAAGACGAUCAAAACAUUUUUAUAAGAAAAAUAUAUGCAUACAUUUUCUGGAAAUAAAGUCUCAAUGCCAAUGAUAUUUUCAUAAGAACAUUUUGCACAUCCUCUCCAAUUACCACACAGAGGACCUGUGUAAUUGUCGCUGACUUUUGUGCCACAAAUAUCUCCUAAAGCAUUCAUAGCUCCCAUUAUCUAAAUUUGGAAACCAAACAAGAAUCCUUCCAUCAAGUACCCCUCCUUCUGCUCUAGUUUAUCCCUUAUUUUAUCAAUAUUCAGCAGGAAAUCAAACGAGUACAUAACUCAUGGGUAAUUCUAAAGCUUCUCCAAAUCCAUCGCCAACUUCAUGUAGAGAUGUUGAAAAUUCACCUUCUCAUCCUUCCCCAUCACCACACCAUAUAACGCAAAGAUAGAUCAGUCUCACCCUAUCAACCCAAGUCCAGCUAUUUAUCUCUUCCAAAUACUUUUUUUUUAUGAUCUGCAAGUUUAUUUUCCUAUAUGUCUUUAUCUGCCUGCUCCCAAAACCACCAUCAUAUUUCCAUG
Molecule: long non-coding RNA, 675 nt
Filed under: Brassica napus (rape)
Lineage: Eukaryota; Viridiplantae; Streptophyta; Magnoliopsida; Brassicales; Brassicaceae
Description: long non-coding RNA (BNAP_LNC006748)
Source: RNAcentral